Physcomitrium patens is the source of this 653-nucleotide non-coding RNA. The record is from RefSeq and is a predicted model, not a curated record. Lineage: Eukaryota; Viridiplantae; Streptophyta; Bryopsida; Funariales; Funariaceae.
CAAUACGCCCACUAAUACAUUAAUCUUCAUCCUCGAAUUAGACUUCAUCUAUUGCAAAAGUUCAUUCAUUAUAAGAAAUAUGUAUGAGAAAUAUAGGAUUUCAAUCUCCUUUUUGGAUGUUGCAUUGAUGUAGAGCUCUCUUGCAGCUCUCCCACCGCUUCUUCAAAUCUGAGAAGGCACCUUUAUGGGCUUUGCAAUGGAGUCGACCAUUGAUGCGGGGUCGGCCAUGGCGGGCUCUGCUACUGCAAUGGAGUCGAUCGUGGCGGGCUCCAUUGUUGCUGUGGUAGGCUUUGCUAUUGCAGUGGAGUUGCCAGCCAAUGCAAGAUCGGCAGUGGCGGGUUCUGUUGCUACAGUGGCGUCAAUUUGUGUAUUUUGAUAUUUUAUAGAUUUGGAGUGAGGUGGCUUACUAUGUGUUCUCCCACUCCAUGAUGUAUCAAAAUAUGGUUGUUGUAGAAGGUUUGGUGAUUUUGAGUAGAUCAGCAAUGCUUGAAUUGUUGUAGAAUAGGUUUCUUGUUUUGAAUUGAGAGAAAUAGGAUACAUGCCUAGUUGAGAUAGGCACUGAAAAUGUUUCUCUUUGGGAAGAGAUUUUGUAAAUAUAUUUGCUGUCAUAUGUGUGGUUGAUACAUAUUAUAAUUUAAUUUCCUUGGCAAGUA